UACGUAGGUGGCAAGCGUUGUCCGGAAUUACUGGGUGUAAAGGGAGCGUAGGCGGGCUCGCAAGUUGAAUGUUAAAUCUAUCGGCUCAACCGGUAGCCGCGUUCAAAACUGCGGGUCUUGAGUGAAGUAGAGGCAGGCGGAAUUCCUAGUGUAGCGGUGAAAUGCGUAGAUAUUAGGAGGAACACCAGUGGCGAAGGCGGCCUGCUGGGCUUUUACUGACGCUGAUGCUCGAAAGCAUGGGGAGCAAACAGGAUUAGAUACCCUGGUAGUCCAUGCCGUAAACGAUGAUUACUAGGUGUGGGGGGACUGACCCCUUCCGUGCCGCAGUUAACACAAUAAGUAAUCCACCUGGGGAGUACGGCCGCAAGGUUGAA
This 374-nucleotide ribosomal RNA is filed under the name uncultured bacterium. RNAcentral's name for it is "bacterial SSU rRNA". It matches the Rfam family "Bacterial small subunit ribosomal RNA", at positions 524 to 898 of the family's 1533-position model. The record is from RNAcentral.